Molecule: ribosomal RNA, 251 nt
Filed under: uncultured bacterium
Lineage: Bacteria
Description: partial 16S ribosomal RNA
Rfam family: Bacterial small subunit ribosomal RNA
Source: RNAcentral
UACGUAGGGUGCGAGCGUUAAUCGGAAUUACUGGGCGUAAAGCGUGCGCAGGCGGUUCGUUAAGUCAGAUGUGAAAGCCCCGGGCUCAACCUGGGAACUGCAUUUGAAACUGGCGGGCUUGAGUGUGGCAGAGGGGGGUGGAAUUCCGCGUGUAGCAGUGAAAUGCGUAGAGAUCGGGAGGACACCAGUGGCGAAGGCGACUACCUGGACCAGCACUGACACUGAGGCACGAAGCGUGGGGAGCAAACAGG